Molecule: ribosomal RNA, 440 nt
Filed under: uncultured bacterium
Lineage: Bacteria
Description: partial 16S ribosomal RNA
Rfam family: Bacterial small subunit ribosomal RNA
Source: RNAcentral
CCUACGGGGGGCAGCAGUGAGGAAUAUUGGGCAAUGGAAGCAACUCUGACCCAGCCAUGCCGCGUGAGUGAAGAAGGUUUUCGGAUUGUAAAGCUCUUUCGGAUGGGACGAUGAUGACGGUAGCAUCUAAAGAAGCCCCGACUAACUUCGUGUCAGCAGCCGCGGUAAUACGAAGGGGGCAAGCGUUGUUCGGAAUUACUGGGCGGAAAGGGAGUGUAGGUGGUUUAGUAAGAUAGUGGUGAAAUCCCAGAGCUUAACUUUGGAAUUGCCAUUAUAACUAUUAGACUAGAGUUACAGAGAGGUUAGUGGAAUACCCAGUGUAGAGGUGAAAUGCGUAGAUAUUGGGAAGAACACCAGUGGCGAAGGCGACUAUCUGGCUGUACAUUGACGCUGAGGCUCGAAAGCAUGGGGAGCAAACAGGAUUAGAUACCCUGGUAGUC